This 296-nucleotide ribosomal RNA is filed under the name Lithobius maqinensis. Its description in RNAcentral is "partial 28S ribosomal RNA". It matches the Rfam family "Eukaryotic large subunit ribosomal RNA", at positions 1593 to 1869 of the family's 3401-position model. The record is from RNAcentral. Lineage: Eukaryota; Metazoa; Arthropoda; Chilopoda; Lithobiomorpha; Lithobiidae.
ACCGAAAGGGAAUCGGGUUAAUAUUCCCAAACCCUGAUGCGGAGAUCGAUCCUUCAUGGAUCCAUUGCGGCAACGAAACUGAACUCGGAGACGUCGACGGAAGUCCCGGGAAGAGUUGUCUUUUCUUUGUAAAGAACGGACUCCCUGGAAUCGGCUCGCCGAUAGAGAGGGAGCAUGUGUUUCCGUAAAGCACCGCGGCUCUUGCAGUCCAGAGCUCUCCCGCCGGCCAUUAAAAAUCUGAGGGAGAGAACAUAAUUUUCGCACCGGACCGUACCCAUAUCUGCAGCAGGUCUCCA